This 215-nucleotide long non-coding RNA is filed under the name Elaeis guineensis (African oil palm). RNAcentral describes it as "long non-coding RNA (EGUI_LNC000317)". Lineage: Eukaryota; Viridiplantae; Streptophyta; Magnoliopsida; Arecales; Arecaceae. The record is from RNAcentral.
GGGCGCUCUUUUUUUGGGCUUGUGGACUCCUUUUCAGGUGUCCCUAAGGAGAGAAAAUCAGAUCUCCUCCCUCCCCAUGUUCCCUUCUGAAAGUUGCGAAGAAUGUCAUCUGACUUUUCUGCGGGGCUUGACAUACGCACGAAAUAGAGGGACUGUAUUUUCAGACCUCACGAGGCAUCGAAUUUAAGCAACCUCUGUGAUUUUGAUCCCUAUUC